RNAcentral lists this ribosomal RNA (1972 nucleotides) under human gut metagenome. Its description in RNAcentral is "bacterial LSU rRNA". It matches the Rfam family "Bacterial large subunit ribosomal RNA", at positions 1 to 1999 of the family's 2925-position model. The record is from RNAcentral.
UUAAGCGACUAAGCGUACACGGUGGAUGCCCUGGCAGUCAGAGGCGAUGAAGGACGUGCUAAUCUGCGAUAAGCGUCGGUAAGGUGAUAUGAACCGUUAUAACCGGCGAUUUCCGAAUGGGGAAACCCAGUGUGAUUCGUCACACUAUCAUUAACUGAAUCCAUAGGUUAAUGAGGCGAACCGGGGGAACUGAAACAUCUAAGUACCCCGAGGAAAAGAAAUCAACCGAGAUUCCCCCAGUAGCGGCGAGCGAACGGGGAGCAGCCCAGAGCCUGAAUCAGUGUGUGUGUUAGUGGAAGCGUCUGGAAAGGCGCGCGAUACAGGGUGACAGCCCCGUACACAAAAAUGCACAUGCUGUGAGCUCGAUGAGUAGGGCGGGACACGUGGUAUCCUGUCUGAAUAUGGGGGGACCAUCCUCCAAGGCUAAAUACUCCUGACUGACCGAUAGUGAACCAGUACCGUGAGGGAAAGGCGAAAAGAACCCCGGCGAGGGGAGUGAAAAAGAACCUGAAACCGUGUACGUACAAGCAGUGGGAGCCUCUUUAUGGGGUGACUGCGUACCUUUUGUAUAAUGGGUCAGCGACUUAUAUUCUGUAGCAAGGUUAACCGAAUAGGGGAGCCGAAGGGAAACCGAGUCUUAACUGGGCGUUAAGUUGCAGGGUAUAGACCCGAAACCCGGUGAUCUAGCCAUGGGCAGGUUGAAGGUUGGGUAACACUAACUGGAGGACCGAACCGACUAAUGUUGAAAAAUUAGCGGAUGACUUGUGGCUGGGGGUGAAAGGCCAAUCAAACCGGGAGAUAGCUGGUUCUCCCCGAAAGCUAUUUAGGUAGCGCCUCGUGAAUUCAUCUCCGGGGGUAGAGCACUGUUUCGGCAAGGGGGUCAUCCCGACUUACCAACCCGAUGCAAACUGCGAAUACCGGAGAAUGUUAUCACGGGAGACACACGGCGGGUGCUAACGUCCGUCGUGAAGAGGGAAACAACCCAGACCGCCAGCUAAGGUCCCAAAGUCAUGGUUAAGUGGGAAACGAUGUGGGAAGGCCCAGACAGCCAGGAUGUUGGCUUAGAAGCAGCCAUCAUUUAAAGAAAGCGUAAUAGCUCACUGGUCGAGUCGGCCUGCGCGGAAGAUGUAACGGGGCUAAACCAUGCACCGAAGCUGCGGCAGCGACGCUUAUGCGUUGUUGGGUAGGGGAGCGUUCUGUAAGCCUGCGAAGGUGUACUGUGAGGUAUGCUGGAGGUAUCAGAAGUGCGAAUGCUGACAUAAGUAACGAUAAAGCGGGUGAAAAGCCCGCUCGCCGGAAGACCAAGGGUUCCUGUCCAACGUUAAUCGGGGCAGGGUGAGUCGACCCCUAAGGCGAGGCCGAAAGGCGUAGUCGAUGGGAAACAGGUUAAUAUUCCUGUACUUGGUGUUACUGCGAAGGGGGGACGGAGAAGGCUAUGUUGGCCGGGCGACGGUUGUCCCGGUUUAAGCGUGUAGGCUGGUUUUCCAGGCAAAUCCGGAAAAUCAAGGCUGAGGCGUGAUGACGAGGCACUACGGUGCUGAAGCAACAAAUGCCCUGCUUCCAGGAAAAGCCUCUAAGCAUCAGGUAACAUCAAAUCGUACCCCAAACCGACACAGGUGGUCAGGUAGAGAAUACCAAGGCGCUUGAGAGAACUCGGGUGAAGGAACUAGGCAAAAUGGUGCCGUAACUUCGGGAGAAGGCACGCUGAUAUGUAGGUGAAGUCCCUUGCGGAUGGAGCUGAAAUCAGUCGAAGAUACCAGCUGGCUGCAACUGUUUAUUAAAAACACAGCACUGUGCAAACACGAAAGUGGACGUAUACGGUGUGACGCCUGCCCGGUGCCGGAAGGUUAAUUGAUGGGGUUAGCGGUAACGCGAAGCUCUUGAUCGAAGCCCCGGUAAACGGCGGCCGUAACUAUAACGGUCCUAAGGUAGCGAAAUUCCUUGUCGGGUAAGUUCCGACCUGCACGAAUGG